RNAcentral lists this ribosomal RNA (447 nucleotides) under uncultured bacterium. Its description in RNAcentral is "bacterial SSU rRNA". It matches the Rfam family "Bacterial small subunit ribosomal RNA", at positions 331 to 794 of the family's 1533-position model. The record is from RNAcentral.
CCAGACUCCUACGGGAGGCAGCAGUCGGGAAUAUUGCGCAAUGGAGGAAACUCUGACGCAGUGACGCCGCGUAUAGGAAGAAGGUUUUCGGAUUGUAAACUAUUGUCGUUAGGGAAGAUAAAAGACUGUACCUAAGGAGGAAGCCCCGGCUAACUAUGUGCCAGCAGCCGCGGUAAUACAUAGGGGGCAAGCGUUAUCCGGAAUUAUUGGGUGUAAAGGGGGCGCAGACGGCGAUGCAAGCCAGGAGUGAAAGCCCGGGGCCCAACCCCGGGACUGCUCUUGGAACUGCGUGGCUGGAGUGCAGGAGGGGCAGGCGGAGUUCCUGGUGUAGCGGUGAAAUGCGUAGAUAUCAGGAGGAACACCGGUGGCGAAGGCGGCCUGCUGGACUGCAACUGACGUUGAGGCCCGGAAGCGUGGGGAGCAAACAGGAUUAGAUACCCUAGUAAA